Molecule: ribosomal RNA, 120 nt
Filed under: Pteropus alecto (black flying fox)
Lineage: Eukaryota; Metazoa; Chordata; Mammalia; Chiroptera; Pteropodidae
Source: RNAcentral
GUCUAUGGCCAUGCCACCUUGAACGUGACUGAUUUCGUUUGAUCUUGGAAGCUAAGCUGGGUUUGAGCCUGGUUAGUACUUGGAUGGGAGACCACCUAGGAAUACCAGGUACUGUAGGAG